This 328-nucleotide unclassified non-coding RNA is filed under the name soil metagenome. RNAcentral's name for it is "partial contains 5.8S ribosomal RNA, internal transcribed spacer 2, and large subunit ribosomal RNA". The stretch from base 1 to 119 matches the Rfam family "5.8S ribosomal RNA", at positions 35 to 154 of the family's 154-position model. The record is from RNAcentral.
GAUGAAGAACGUAGCGAAAUGCGAUACGUAAUGUGAAUUGCAAAUUCAGUGAAUCAUCGAGUCUUUGAACGCACAUUGCGCCCCUUGGUAUUCCGAGGGGCAUGCCUGUUCGAGCGUCAUUAUAACCCCUCAAGCUCAGCUUGGUGUUGGGGCCUGCUGCACUGGCAGCCCUUAAAAUCAGUGGCGGCGCCAUCUGGCUCUAAGCGUAGUAAUUCUUCUCGCUAUGGAGUCCUGGUGGAUGCUUGCCAUCAACCCCCAAUUUUUCUAUGGUUGACCUCGGAUCAGGUAGGGAUACCCGCUGAACUUAAGCAUAUCAAUAAGCGGAGGA